GCCAGACUCCUACGGGAGGCAGCAGUGGGGGAUAUUGCACAAUGGGGGGAACCCUGAUGCAGCGACGCCGCGUGGGUGAAGAAGCGCCUCGGCGCGUAAAGCCCUGUCAGCAGGGAAGAAAAUGACGGUACCUGACUAAGAAGCCCCGGCUAACUACGUGCCAGCAGCCGCGGUAAUACGUAGGGGGCAAGCGUUAUCCGGAUUUACUGGGUGUAAAGGGAGCGUAGACGGCGGUGCAAGCCAGAUGUGAAAGCCCGGGGCUCAACCCCGGGACUGCAUUUGGAACUGUGCUGCUAGAGUGUCGGAGAGGCAGGCGGAAUUCCUAGUGUAGCGGUGAAAUGCGUAGAUAUUAGGAGGAACACCAGUGGCGAAGGCGGCCUGCUGGACUGCAACUGACGUUGAGGCCCGAAAGCGUGGGGAGCAAACAGGAUUAGAUACCCGGGUAC
Molecule: ribosomal RNA, 446 nt
Filed under: uncultured bacterium
Lineage: Bacteria
Description: partial 16S ribosomal RNA
Rfam family: Bacterial small subunit ribosomal RNA
Source: RNAcentral